RNAcentral lists this ribosomal RNA (46 nucleotides) under Megalophaedusa stenospira. RNAcentral describes it as "partial 5.8S rRNA". The record is from RNAcentral. Lineage: Eukaryota; Metazoa; Mollusca; Gastropoda; Stylommatophora; Clausiliidae.
GAAAAACCAGAAAAGAAAUGGGAAAAAAAAAAACAACUUUGAGCGG